CCUACGGGUGGCAGCAGUCGAGAAUCAUUCACAAUGGAGGAAACCCUGAUGGUGCGACGCCGCGUGGGGGAAUGAAGGUCUUCGGAUUGUAAACCCCUGUCAUGUGGGAGCAAAUUAAAAAGAUAGUACCACAAGAGGAAGAGACGGCUAACUCGGUGCCAGCAGCCGCGGUAAUACAGAGGUCUCAAGCGUUGUUCGGAAUCACUGGGCUUAAAGCGUGCGUAGGCUGUUUCGUAAGUCGUGUGUGAAAGGCGCGGGCUCAACCCGCGGACGGCACAUGAUACUGCGAGACUAGAGUAAUGGAGGGGGAACCGGAAUUCUCGGUGUAGCAGUGAAAUGCGUAGAUAUCGAGAGGAACACUCGUGGCGAAGGCGGGUUCCUGGACAUUAACUGACGCUGAGGCACGAAGGCCAGGGGAGCGAAAGGGAUUAGAUACCCCAGUAGUC
This 446-nucleotide ribosomal RNA is filed under the name uncultured bacterium. RNAcentral describes it as "partial 16S ribosomal RNA". It matches the Rfam family "Bacterial small subunit ribosomal RNA", at positions 338 to 795 of the family's 1533-position model. The record is from RNAcentral.